This 1446-nucleotide ribosomal RNA is filed under the name Triticum aestivum (bread wheat). RNAcentral describes it as "partial small subunit ribosomal RNA". The record is from RNAcentral. Lineage: Eukaryota; Viridiplantae; Streptophyta; Magnoliopsida; Poales; Poaceae.
AUGGCCGCGGCGGCGAAGCUGACGCGGAGCUUCUCGCGGCAGCUGUCGUCGGGGGCGGCGCGGGUGUGGCGCCAGCUGUCGCUGGAGCCGCACACCCCGCGGCGUGGGGCGGCCGCGGCGACGGGGGCCGUGGCGGCGGCGGGGCCGACCAGGUUCGGCCUAGCGAGGCAGUCGUCGCUCGACCCGACGCCGGCGCCCGAUGACGGGGCGGUGCUGGCCAUGCCGGAGAACCUGGACGCCACCAUGCGGCUGCUGUACGCGGCGUGCCAGGGGGACGCGGCCGGCGUGGAGGAGCUGCUCAGGGAAGGGGUGGACGUCGACAGCAUUGACUUCGACGGCCGCACGGCGCUGCACAUCACCGCCUGCGAGGGCCGGGGGGAGGUGGUGCGCCUGCUGCUCGGCUGGAAGGCCAACAUCAACGCCCGCGACCGAUGGGGCAGCACGCCAGCAGCGGAUGCUAAACAUUACGGGCACUUUGAAGUGUACAACCUUCUCAGAGCAAGAGGAGCAAAACUUCCGAAAACCAAAAAGACUCCAAUGACUGUGUCAAAUCCCAAAGAAGUUCCAGAGUAUGAACUGAACCCUCUUGAACUCGAGUUCCGAAGAGGAGAGGAGGUUACAAAGGGUUACUAUGUAGCCAAAUGGUAUGGCUCCAAAGUUUUCGUGAAGAUACUUGACAAAGAUAGCUUCUCAGACGGAGAUAGCAUAGAGGCAUUCAAACACGAGCUUACUUUACUGGAGAAAGCGCGGCAUCCCAAUUUGGUCCAAUUUGUGGGAGCUGUUACACAAAAUGUACCACUGAUGAUUGUUUCAGAAUACCACCAAAAAGGUGAUCUAGCGAGCUAUCUUGAGACAAAAGGUCGCGUGCAAUCUUAUAAAGCGAUCAGGUUUGCCCUUGACAUUGCAAGGGGACUAAAUUAUCUUCACGAGUGCAAGCCAGAGCCAAUCAUCCACGGUGAUCUGUCACCAAAAAACAUUGUGCGGGAUGAUGAAGGAAAACUUAAGGUGGCAGGCUUUGGAUCACUUGAUCUGACAAAAGUCUCCCAAGAUAAACUACAGAUGGUUCAGCCAGUGUCAAAUUUUGACAGUGUAUACAUUGCUCCUGAAAUGUACAGAAACGAAGCAUUUGACAGAAGUGUGGAUACAUUUGCGUUCGGUCUCAUUCUUUACGAGAUGAUUGAAGGAUCUCCUGCAUUUCACCCAAAGCCUCAAGAGGAAGCGGCCAAGAUGAUUUGUUCAGAGGGUUUGAGACCAUUAUUCAAGAAUAAACCCAAAUCAUAUCCUGAGGGUGUGAAAGAGCUAAUACAAGAGUGCUGGGAUCCAACACCUUCCGUCAGGCCAACGUUCUCGGAUAUAAUUGUACGCCUGAACAAGAUAUCUGCAAGUUGUUCCAAGCAAACUCGCUGGAGAGACAACUUCAAGCUACCAUGGUACAGCUCUCGCUGA